UACGUAGGGUGCGAGCGUUAAUCGGAAUUACUGGGCGUAAAGCGUGCGCAGGCGGUUUUGUAAGACAGAUGUGAAAUCCCCGGGCUCAACCUGGGAACUGCAUUGGAAACUAACGGGCUCGAGUGUGGCAGAGGGGGGUGGAAUUCCACGUGUAGCAGUGAAAUGCGUAGAGAUGUGGAGGAACACCUGUGGCGAAGGCGGCCCCCUGGUUGGAUACUGACGCUGAGACGCGAAAGCGUGGGGAGCAAACAGG
This 253-nucleotide ribosomal RNA is filed under the name uncultured bacterium. RNAcentral's name for it is "partial 16S ribosomal RNA". It matches the Rfam family "Bacterial small subunit ribosomal RNA", at positions 524 to 776 of the family's 1533-position model. The record is from RNAcentral.